Molecule: ribosomal RNA, 539 nt
Filed under: uncultured bacterium
Lineage: Bacteria
Description: bacterial SSU rRNA
Rfam family: Bacterial small subunit ribosomal RNA
Source: RNAcentral
ACGGGUGAGUAACGCGUAGGAAUAUGUCCAGAGGUGGGGGACAACCCCGGGAAACUGGGGCUAAUACCGCAUAUGAGCUGAGGCUCAAAGCAGUGAUGCGCCUUUGGAGUAGCCUGCGUCCGAUUAGCUUGUUGGUGGGGUAAUGGCCUACCAAGGCGACGAUCGGUAGCUGGUCUGAGAGGACGACCAGCCACACUGGGACUGAGACACGGCCCAGACUCCUACGGGAGGCAGCAGUGGGGAAUAUUGGACAAUGGGCGCAAGCCUGAUCCAGCAAUUCCGCGUGGGUGAAGAAGGUCUUCGGAUUGUAAAGCCCUUUCGACGGGGACGAUGAUGACGGUACCCGUAGAAGAAGCCCCGGCUAACUUCGUGCCAGCAGCCGCGGUAAUACGAAGGGGGCUAGCGUUGCUCGGAAUUACUGGGCGUAAAGGGCGCGUAGGCGGCUUAGUUAGUCAGGCGUGAAAUUCCUGGGCUCAACCUGGGGACUGCGCUUGAUACGGCUAGGCUAGAGGAUGGAAGAGGGUCGCGGAAUUCCCAGU